Molecule: non-coding RNA, 6009 nt
Organism: Bactrocera oleae (olive fruit fly)
Lineage: Eukaryota; Metazoa; Arthropoda; Insecta; Diptera; Tephritidae
Source: RefSeq, a predicted model, not a curated record
UACCUCUGAAAAAAUUUAAUUAUCUUUUUUACAUUUGAUUUGCUUAAAAAUGGAACUUUUCUUGCACCUCUUCUAGUUAGAUCAGCUUCCCGAGUCGGCAUUAAGGCAUUACAGACCUUAUUUUUGGAGCAUUCCAUUAUUUCAUAUUUUCACUUUCCGUACAACGAUAUAAAAAAUUUUACUUGUUAUGUAGUACAGUUAAUUUCAACGAGGCAAUAAAUCGGCUCUUAAUUUCAACGAGGCAAUAAAUCGGCUCUUAAUUUCAGAAAAUUUCAUUGCUAUCUUUACUAUUCUUCUGUGCAAGCUAAUAAAUAACUAAAUUUGUCCCUAUUAAUUUCUCCAGCUCGUACGUAGCACGUGCACUUAAAAUCAUAAUUUUUUGUCGCAAUGUAAAGACUUACAGUAUAACGAUUGUUUAGUUAAAGUACUUUUUGGUUGCAUUAGUUUACAGUUCAGUUCAGUACUGACGAAUAUAUGCAAAUCUGUGCUAUAAUAUAUGGAAAUAAAGGUGAUAUCUCUAGUAUUUUUUCCAACACUAUAUGGGAAAUAUUUUGAAAAUACACAGUAAAAUUUUUUGAGUUACACGGGAUCUCCGACGGCGCUAAAAAAGAUCCUCCAUUGCUGCAGUGAUACCGGCUUUUCACAGGUCGAGGAAACUCCGCAAUUCAUGUACAUUUUUAGGAGUGGGACAAUCUUACUGUCUAUCUUUUCAUUAGGUGUGCAAAUGCCCUCUGUUGUCAUUUUGUGUUCUAAGUAGCUUACUUCCUUUUUGAAAAGGGAACACUUCCUUGGGCUCAGCUUUAGACCAACGCUAGCUACCCGUUGGAAAACCUCUUCCAAGUUUUUCAUCGAAGCUUUUACCCAACACGAUGAUAUCGUCGAGGUAUACCAAGUAGGUUUCAGUGUAAUCCUUUUAAGUAUCUCAAAGGUAGCGUUACAUAACACGGGUCAACAAAAAAAUAAUUGUUGUUUGUCCUAAACUUUAUACUAUGAUUUUUCGAUUAUUUAGACACAAAAAUUAAAAGAAAAUACUUUUUUUUUGGUAUAAAGUUUGCUUUUGCGAUAGUUAUAAUAAUAAUACACUUUAUUCAAUUUUUUAAAAAUUUAAUUAGUUUUAAUGCAUUCAAAAAUAUUGCGAGAUUGGAGUGGAGUUUUUAUAUUCAGAGAGUGCCUCCAGAUGGCACUCAAGUGAUAAAUAACGAUCAGGUGUUUCGUACACAUCCAGAAAACGUUAAAAUUUCAUCGAGAAAGUGUAAAUACGAUGCUGAUGCAUUUUGUUAUAUAUGUGGUGAAUUUAUGAAGCAUAUUUUGACUGUACUGUUCGAAAUCAAGAUAAAUCAUGGACUCCACAUGUUGCUUGUGGUUAUUGUAAAAGAUGUUUGGAAGUUUAGGCUGGUAUCGAGGUGAAAAAAGGUCUAUGAAGUUUGCGACACCAAGAAUUUGGCGUGAACAAAGUAACCAUGUCCAUGAUUGCUACUUUUGUAUUACUAACCCGAGUAAACGACGUAGAGGUAAAAAUGCAAAACCUGUCGAAUAUCCUGACCUUGCAUCUUCUUCUGCUCCAAUUCCACAUGACCUGACUCGACCAGUGCCUGAGCCACCAAAGAAUCUAUCUCAAAAAAGUAACUCAUCUCUGAGUUCAUAUAAAAGUAAUUCCGAUAAAGAGUUUUUACCUACCCUAGAACAACCAAAAUACCAUAUUAUUACUACAGAAGAUUAUGAUGACCUAGAGAGAGAAUAAAUUUACCAAAAAAUAAAGCAGAGCUCUCUGUUAAAACAGUGGAAUUUGCUUGAUGAUGUUAAUAUAACAGAUCAGCGAACUAGGCAUGAGACAUUUUCAACGUUUUUCACAAAAGAAGAUGGACUUUGUUUUUGCAAUGACAUCAAAGGUAUGUUUGAACAUUUACCUAUGUAGUUCUAUCUUAAAUUAAAUAUUAAAACCACAGAUUUUGAGAAAAUUCGUUUAGUUAGUUUCCUGACCACAAAAGCAAACUUUUGAAGGUCAUAUUUUUUUUCCGUGUAUUUGUGACCUAAAGUAAAGAAAUUUUACACUUUAAAGUCGAGGUCAAAUUUCGUGUUGACCCGUGUAAUCCAAAGAGAAUCACGGUAAAUUGCCAUAGACCAUCUCCAACGCUGACAGCCGUCUUUUUUUUGCCUUCUUUGUUUACCUUCACUUGUCAAUAACCACUUUUCAAAUCAAGUGUUGAGAAUUAUUUUGUGCCUGAUAAUGAGUCCAGAGUGUCAUCGAUUCUAGGGAGCGGAUAACUGUCAUUCUUCGUUAUAUCAUUCACCCUUCUAUAGCCCCCACAAGACCUCAUGUUCCCAUCUUUUUUCUUCACAAGUACCUCAGGUGAACUCCAUGGACUCGCUGAUAGUUCGAUUAUACCGCUUUCGCUCAUUUCACGUGUGGUCUGGCUUAUAACUUCACGUUUUGCUAGUGGAACGUUUCGAGGAGCUUGGCGGAUGGGUCUUGCACCUGUGGCAAUAAAAUGUUUCCCAACUUUGGUUCUUCCUGGUUUGGAAUCGUCUUUUGACAAAUAUGGAUGAAUAUAUGAGAAGGAGUUGUUAAGCCGUAUUUUGAUGGUUUGCAUCUAGUUCCUCGGUUCAUUCGAAUUUCGCUCGAUAUUUCGUUUUCGUCCAUGGAAUCUAUGUCUCAUUAUCUCCAUAUAUCUCUCUGUAAUUAUCAAUCAUCUAAAGUUGUACUUAUUAACGUAACUGAACAUAAGAGGCACUUCCAUAUUUGUAGAGGUCAUAAUCCUGUUUUCCAUGUCAAUUUUGAUUCCUCGAUUCGACGGUAUCUGCCACUAUAAAAUUAUGUAACACUGCUGCUUUUCAAAUUACGAACUCAUACGUUGAGCUUCCGAAAAUUUGGGUAUCUUCUCCAGUUGCAGUACGCAACAUGGUCUUACUUCUUUAUUAACCACAUCAGAUCGAUUUAUGGAAUGUGAUGCGCCCGUAUCCACAGUCAGUAUGCACUUAUCGCUGUUUACAAAUCCACUAACGGUAACUUUACUCGUAUUGCCGCUUAUUUGUGAAAUGUAGAUUACAUGGCCUUUGCCUGCGCGAGCCAGCCCGAGCCCCUUUGGCUGGCUCGCUUUAGUUUAACGAUUGGUUGGAUUUGACAUUUACUUCAUCUUCCUCAGCUUUGCGUUUACGUCGAACUGAAUUAUUGGACUGGUUAGUUACAUGCAAUAUGACCACUUUUUCCGCAAUUGAAGCAUUUCUUCAGACCAUAGCUUUACUUACGCCUCUCCGUAAAUUUUUCCAGACUGUCUGCAAAUUUUUUUAUCAUCUUUUUCAAGUAAUUGGGUGCGCCCAGGUGUGAUCUUCUAUUUAUACUUGAUGAACUUUAAAUGUUCGAUUGCUAAACAGUGUUCAGUUUCCUGUGUUAGAGCAUAUGAAACGGUUUCGCAUUUAUGUGCGUAAGCUAAGUGUGCUAACCUCUCAGUCUCUGUAGAAAACUCCUGCAGAGAUUCAUUGACUUUGCUUUCAUUGAAUCUGCUCCAUGUGUUCACUACCAUAUCGUCUUUAUAAUGCAUCUAUUUGUUUUUUCCGUUUUUAAUCCAUUUGUCGCCGAACCACGUUGGUCCAGCUCCCUUUUUAAUUAUGGAAUAUUCAAAUCGCAAAACAUGUUCAUUUUCAAAUAAUUAUCUCCUUGGGAAUUUAUUUGACAAUAUCACUUCUUACACUAAUUGUAACGGAUUUCUCGAUAAAUCGUCUACAUUGUAACUCACUCUUGAGUUCGAUUACUGGAUUGUUAAAUAGCCAAUUGUUCUCCUUAUCACGUCGGUUAUGUGGUAUUGAUGUAAAAGUUACCUCGUCCAGGAAAUAGUACAAUGAAAAAAUUAAGUAAGCUUCUCACAAAUUACUGUUUUUUGGUUGACAAGUGUUAUAGAAACGUAAUUGAAUAAUCCCUGUCACACUUGAUCUCAUUUUAGGCAUUUGGAUGCAUUUUUUACUUGCAUGUUUUUUUUUGUAAAUUGAACAAUCAUAUAUUUCGUUUGUUGUUUAAUUCAGAGUUAAAUGGGGGAAUAUGUAGAUAUAAAAACCAAUAUUAAUCGUUUAAUUGAUUCCGCCGAAGUGGAUAUUAGAUACGCAUUGUAGGAGUUCUAGGUUCAACAAGUAAUCAAAUGUCCAAAUGAAAUAGGAUUCUUGAUGGUGUUCUGACAAGAGUUCGAUCAUACCAUGGGAUUUUUCAUACAUAAUAUUUUUAUACUCUCGCAACCUGUUGCUACAGAGUAUAAUAGUUUUGUUCACCUAACGGUUGUUUGUAUCACCUAAGUUAAGUUAGGUUAUGUAUAUAUAAAUGAUCAGGAUGAAGAGACGAGUUGAAAUCCGGGUGACUGUCUGUCCGUCCGUCCGUGCAAGGUCUAACUUGAGUAAAAAUUGAGGUAUCUUUAUGAAACUUGGUAGACAUGUUUCUUGGUACCGUGAGACGGUUGGCAUUGCAGAUGGGCGUAAUCGAACCACUGCCACGCCCACAAAACGCCAUUAAUCAAAAACAAAUAAAUUGCCAUAACUAAGCUCCGCAAUAAGAUACAAUAGUGUUAUUUGGUACACAGGAUCACAUUAGGGAGGGGCAUCUGCAGUUAAAAUUUGCGUGGGCGUGGUCUCGCCCCUAAUAAGCUUAAUGUGCAUAUCUACUAAACCACUAAAGCUAUAAUAACCAAAUUCACUAGGAGCAAAUGUUUUAGUACGAAAAGUACUAUGUUAUAGUACGAAAAUGGGCGAAAUCGGACUACAACCACGCCUAUUUCCCAUAUAACACCAUUUUCAAUUCCAUCUGAUCGAUGAUUAUAUCGGGGUAAAACUUUGCGUGAAUAAUACGUUUAAAGUAUGCCACCUUGUGACCAAAAAUUGUCUAAAUCGACUCAAAACUGUUCAAGCCCCUAAGUACUAAAUAUGUGGACCCCAGUGCCUAUAGUUGACCUUCUACCGAAAAUAUCAGUCAAUCCACAAAGAAAUCUCAAACGAGUAUACCAUUUGACUUUGCGAGAGUAUAAAAUGUUCGGUUACAUCCGAACUUAGCCCUUCCUUACUUGUUUUAUUUAACACUUAUCGAGAGUUGUCAGUAUGACGGCGUAGGGCAAUUGAAACAUCAUCAAAUAUUUGUAUGAUAUACAGAUAGACGGGAAUUGAAAAACGCCGCAACGAACAAAUGCAACGACACAGUUACGAACGACAAUAAUUCCCAAAUUAUCUAGUAAAUAGACGUUAAUCGAAAUAGGUAGUCUAAAUGUCUCUAAAUAGCGUUUGUGUAUACGAAGGAACUGCGUAAAGCUUACUAAACGAAGUUCAACAAAUAAAUUCACAAAAUUGUAUCUAAAUGGAUUGGUGUAUGGUAGUAUAGAUAUGUUAUGAACAAAAAAUUAUAAAGUUUUACUAUUAAUUUUUUACUUUCUCCAAGGGUACAUCAAUUCACUAAAGUCGAAAUGUUUACAGUAUGUUCGGAAAAGCAGUCAGAAACAGUAUUGGAAAGUUUUAGGGAUAUUGAAAUGCUUUUAUAUAAGCAGUUAAAUUUAAAAUUCCGCGUUCUUGAUAUGCCACCAAACGAACUGGGAGCUUCAGCAUUCCAAAAAUACGAUAUUGAGGCGUGGUUGGCCGGGCGGCAAAUGUGGGGAGAAAUUUCAAGCUGUAGUAACUGUACAGACUAUCAAGCUAAACGUCUUAAUAUAAAGUAUAAGACGAAAGACGGGAUAUUGAAAUAUACGCACACUGUAAAUGGAACAGCGGCUGCGAUACCAAGACUGCUUAUUGCUCUGAUUGAGUCAAAUAAGAUUGAAAAUGGGGUGUUAUGCAUACCUGAAGAGCUUCGAAAUAUUUUAACCAAUCCAUUAUUGGCUCGCAACAAAGUAGUUCCAUCUUUAAAACUUAUUAAGCAUUUUUAAAGAAGACGUUUUUAUAAUCAAUCAUGUUGGAAAUAAUAUCAUAAUUUCACAUAUAGGCAAACUGCUAUUGUGUAAAACUUAUGUUAAAAGUCAAUAAAUUUUGUUUACACUCCAAUUAUAA